UUCAUCACAGUUAUUAUAUAUAAUCUUACAUUUCAAUCUGAUAACCCUUUACAUAACAGAUAACUCAAACUCGACAGUUUAUCAUUACAUAAUCAUUGUAACUUAUCAAGUACAUUUCUCAAAACAUUUAUCAUUACCUACCUUUAAACCAUGCUUAGCUUAUUAAUCACCUUAUCAGAGUUAAUAAAUAAAACUUACAUCCAGGUUCAAUACCCUUUCAUACAACAAACAAAACUUAAACUUCACAACUCAACACCUAUUAAACAUUAUACAUUGUUCGGAACCUUAAAUAAGGUUCAAAUAAUUAUAACUCAGCUUAAGUGUAUAAAUCUUCAAGUAUCACAUCUGAUUCAUAACUUUCAAGUAGCACAUAACUUUACCUUGAAUCUUUAACCUGCAAAAGUGGUUAUUUACAAGGUUGAGCUCGACAGUCCAGCAAAAUCUAACAGUUUUCAUGCAUCACGUAGCACAUAAUAACAUGCUCAACAUAUAUCUCAUAAACAUUGAACUAACAUAACAUACAUGAUGUAUUUCAUAUAACAAGUAUAAAGAUUGAGUUCCUUACUCAAUCAACAUUCAUUAUUCAAUCAACGUAGUCAUAAAUUGAUUUUAACGUUUCAUACUUUCAAUAUAUAUAGAACACAUCAUGCUCUUUGCAACAAAUAUUUAAAACAGUUCAUCAUCAAGUUCACAUAACAAAUAGGAACUGAAAGACUUGCAUUGAUCGUUGUUUACCAAUAACAGUUUAACAGCUUACAGUUAUCUGCACUUCAUGUACCCUACACAAUUAUAUAAUCAUACACAUCAACUAUUAGUCACAUAACAACACAUAGUAAUUGUAAUGUAAACUCUACUUCACAUCUCAUAAUCCUUCCUGUUAAUUAACAGACAAUGUUCAAUUAGAUUGUGUUAACUUUUCGACUUAUGUAAUAUUCGAAAUUCAUUCAAGUGUUUAAGUCUUGCUAGGAAUACUUAUGGGUUUUAUAUUAAACCCAUUUCAUAUCUUAUAAUAUUCAUUUCAUUUGACUUAAAAUACUUUUUACGUUCAUUAACACUUAUCACGACGUUUCGACAUUUAUUCGUCACACGCCCGAUUUAUCUCUCUUGUAUAUGCUUACUAUGCUUGUAUAACUUAUCUAAUACAUUAUUUAUUAAUGUUAAGUAUCAUUAUGUUUACUAACAUUCAUGUUUUAUAACUUAAAACAACAUCUUUUAUCGUCAAGAGCAUUACACUUGCAUACGUGCAUGCCCGACGCCCUCCGAUUGCCUCUAAAAACACAAUAGUCCUAAAGAUGACCAUUUUAACCUCUGUUACUGACCUCAAAUUCAAACACUUAAAGAAUAAAAGUUAUAGGUAUAUUCGUCCUCGUUUCGGAUCAUCUUGAAUCACCUCAUUCGGAGUUCGUAUGAAAACGUUAUGCUUGUUUUAGUAAAACAUGUCCGGUCAGUUGUUUUUUUUUUCAAAAUUUUGCAAAACAAACCAGAGCGGGGAUUUUUACACUAGGGUAGCCUGCCAGGACGGGGGUCCCUUCUGCUAGUUCGCGAAUUAUAAUCCCGAACACUACAGAAAGCCAAAUUAGGCUUACAAACUCCUUUCUAACAACCAUAUUAACCUACCCAAGGUGUAAUAUGUUUACAGAAACAUAAACUAAUAUUUCUAACACGUUUCUAACCACAUAAACAUCAAGAUUACAACCUUUAAUUUCACUAUUUCUAUUAUUUCUUCUUCUUUUGACAUUCAUAGCGAAAUUCUUCACUGUGAAUUCGUUUUACAUCCGUUUUGACUCGUUCAACUUGGGUUGUUUUCGUUUUUCAACAUACUAACAAUAUCUAUCAUCAAUUUCAGAUUAUAUCCAUCAAUUUUGACUCCAACAUAAGUUAAAAUAUACAUAUGCCAUCAAAACCCAAGUUUUUCAUCUUUAACAUAUUCUUAUGAUUUUGAUUACUCUAGAACCAAUUAAAGAGACUAUAUAUACCAGAUUAUACACCCAUACACAUAUAUAUACAACAUCUCUUCAAAUCACCCAACCAAAAUAGCUUUUUAAGUAAGGAAAUUGAGAAACUAUAAAUUAGAAUUUUAGAACUAGAUGAAUAUCUUUCAUUCUUCUUAAACUUGAUUAGAUGAUGAGAAACCUUGUUCUUCUUCCUUGAUUCCUCCAAGCUUCUUCUCAAAGCUCUCUAACCCUCUUCUCCAACACUCUAUUUUCUUUAUUCUUAGGCUUUAGGAACAAAACACGUACAUCCAUAUAACUGAUAUAAACAUAAUGCGUAUGCAUUAUGGCCUCAUCAGUUACAAUAACAAAGGGUCAUUAUGCCAUGUUUGGCUAGCACUCAAAAUCACUUUUUUUUUCCAAUUUUUUUUUAGCAAUCAUUCUUAUCAUAUGAUACCCUUGUCACACCCAUUAACUAUUUGAAUUGAAUUAAUCUCAAUUCAUUAAUAAAUCUAAUUAAACCUUACUAAUAAAAUUAUAACUUCUAUUUAGACAAUAUAAUUAUAAUUUUAUUUAACAAUCAUUAAUCCUCUAAUUUAAUUACUUAAUUAAAUUAGAAAAUCACCACCACAUUAACGUAAUAAUUAUGCACAAACUAUAAAAUUAUUUAUCAUCAAUUUAUUUAAUAUCAUCAUACUUAAAUAAAUUAUUCCAUAAUAAUUUUCAUUGAAUAUUUAUUUAGUCCAUAAAUAUUUCAAUUAAAAUACUUAUUUUACUUAAUAAAUAUUUUAAUUAUUUGCGAUCUCACAAUCGUAACAUAUUAACAUAUUACAUUUAUAUGUAACAUACAUUACUCUCUCAUAUCAUAAUAAGAAUUUUAUUUAUUGAAUUCUUAUUUUAAUAAUUUUCAAAAAUUCGGGUUGUCACAUGCUUCAUUGCUUACCUCAACAAUUUCAGAUGCCAUUCUCAAACACUGUCAUAAAACAAGGGUUAAUUGACAUGCCAUAUAUUAUCCCUAUACUCUCACCGACCAAUUAAAUAAAAAAUAACUUAGGUAGGUCAUACUAGCGAAUGAUUAGCCCGUCUCUCCCCUCCUAGUUCAAGUUUCACAUCUCAGCUAGGGAUCAUAUCCCUAAGCUUUGAUACCAACUGUAACGUCCCCAAAGUAGGUAUACAUCACCCAUUCUGAGUCGCCAAAUACAUGGUACAGAAUACAACUACAACUUGAUUAUACAACUGUCGUGUAAUAUACGACAAAAAAUAGAUGAGACUUUAACACGAAUAUUGUCUUCUAAACAAUAUACAAACUCAAAUUCAAUAUCAUUACAAUUAUUAUUCACAGAAUAGUGAGGACAGCUAAAAUAAUCAUCUGGACUAUCAAUCCAUUCCCCGACUAGUCCCAGCUAUAUUCUCAUUUCCUUAAGAGAACAGUGAAAGAAAAGGGUGAGCUCAACUAACCAGUAAGAAAUAUUAUGACUAAGAUAAUGCAGAAUAAAUUAUCUUUAGCCUUCAACAGUAUAACAACUAAUAGAAUACAAUAGACAACAAGUUUUAGAUCAACAACUGCAGCGGAAUAAGCAAUCCAUUAGAAGAGUCAAGUUACCAUAAAUUUUAUUGCUGAAGCUCAGCUUAAUAAAUAAUCCAUAUCACUGAAUUAUCCAUGCACUAUGGGCCAAGGAUAUUGGUGUUUUCACCAAUGGUCAUGAUCAUACCAAACAACAAUUCAUCUUUGCACCCUUGGCCAAAGAGAACGCAUGGUUAUGAUCAUACCAACAUCUUUCCAUCAAUGCACUAUGGGCCAAUGACAACUUUUAUCACAUUAUUUGUAACAUUACGGUCAUGUGUAUACCAAAUAAUCUUUGGUCAUAAUCAUAUCAAUCAACAGUCCAUCUAUACACGUAAGUCACAGAUGACUUUCAUCACAAUAUAAGCAUGAGGAUGAUGACAAUGAUAUAAGAAUUCAAUUAAAUGAAAACAAGGAUAAAUUUUAAGGAUUUAUAAUUUAAUUUAUUCAGAAUAAUAUCCAAAUUGUCAACAUGAUACUGCUUUGUGGAGUAAAAUUCAAGAAUAAUAUUGUAUCAAAUAUGAUUUGGAUCGGAAAAAAAUCAAUUUUUGUCAUGGAUAGUACUUCGGGUGAAUAGUACCCGGGUGAAUAGUACCCCAUGAAUAGUACUUCGAGAAUAGUACUUUAUGAACAGUAAUUCGUGAAUAGUAAUUUGUGAAUAGUAUUCCGUGAAUAGUACCAUAUUUAUGAAUAGUGCCCAUGAAUAGUACCAUACGUAUGAAUAGUGUUGUAUAAAUGAAUAAUACCCAUGAAUAGUACUCUGGCAUGAAAAGCUUAAAAUUUAAUAAGAAAGUUCAGAAAAAUAUCCUUAUGAAACGAUACUAGAUGAAGCGAAAAUUUCAAGGAUAUUCUACUAAUUUCACGGAGUAUAGAAGCAAUACUUUAACAAAAUGAGUGUAGAAUUUAGAAUCUGAAACGAAAUAAUAUUACUUACACACUAUAGAGUAUGUAAGAAAAUAUUAUUUUAUACGGAUAUUGAACAAAAAUAAUAUCCCUUACGAAUACGAAAGAAAUAAUACCCCUUACCUUAGUAGAAGGCUAAAUACUACAAUAGUAAAGAGCAGAAUACUCUUCUUCUUUCCCUCUAUAGCUUCUCUCUCUAUAGCUUCUCUUUCUAUAAUUGCUCUUGUGAGUCUUAGUAAAUUGGUGAGAAUGAAAAAAGAAUAAGCUUCUAUUUAUAGGAAAAUAUAGUUUCGAUAAUUGCACGUUUUGGGGCUCGAAAUAUUACAGUAUAAUACUUUCAUCUUUUCCUUCAUUUUUAAUUUAGUAAUAUAAGUAUUAUCAAACUUGCACCACCUCCCCUAAUAGUACAUUCAUUUGAAUCAAUAGUACAUUCAUGUGAAUCAAUAGUUUUAUACAUGUGAACUAAUAGCAAUUAAUUGCUUAUUUAUCCGAUUAAUUAUCCGAUUGGUCAAUUUAACCUCCAAAAAUCAAUUAUUAUCGAAAUAAAUGUCAAUUUCCACUAACACUAAUAAUCCCAACACAAUGAAAAUAUCAAUUUCAUCUUUAAUCAACACAAACUUAUUCAUCAUUAAUAUUAAAACUCACAGUAUUUAACAACCAGAUCAUUCCCACGAAAGAGGGGGCUUUCCGAUAAGGAUUUCUCCCUAUUGGCGCGCAAUUAGGUGACCAAACCCCUUUCCUCGACAGAACUUUCUAGACAUCGUCAAUAUUGCAAAUAAUAAUAUGAAUAACUUUGUUGUCUCAAUUAUUUAUUUAAAAAUAUAAAAUAUUAUGUAGAUGAUACUGUGACAAUAACUGAAUCAAUAAUAUGAGAUAUAUUAUGCAGUAAUAAUUGAGUAUAACUGAGUGACUUCUCACAUAAGCAUCAAUAAUCAAAGAUAUUGUACAAUACCGUGUGCUACUAUACAACCACGCGUAUUACUGUACUUUUACCACCGGGUAUUUCAACAGUUAACGAUAAAAAUUUCGUCGUUAAUUUUAUAAAAAGAUAUUUCUGUCGUUUUCCAACUCCAACAAUACUUCCGUUGUGGGGUCCACCAAUGAUUGUGCCGUCGUACGAAUAUUCCCUGUGAAAAUGAAUAUUUCCCGACCAAUCGAAUAUUUUAUAACAACUUUCUUACUUUGCAAAAUUUGUAAAUAUUACCCACAACUAUAAUAUUAUAUCAAAUUUACACCAUAAUAUUCAAAAAUAUAUUUCGAGAAAAAUUAAUCUUUAUUCAUAAAAGUUAGGGUCUUACAUCUUAUGCUCCCAAACUAGGCCAUUAUUCACAGUUUUGUGUUACUAGUUUUGGACAAUUCUUGCCAAUUUUAUUUCUGGCCACUUUGGUUCAUUCCAAAACUUUAAUAAUACCUGUUUAGAACUAUUUAUAGCAUUCCUUUAGGUUUGUUAAGCAUAGAUUAGGUUUUGACCCUCUAAACCUAAAUUUUUUAAGCUUUUAUAUACUAACUUCUCAAGUUCUUAUAUAUAUUAGUAUUUCCAAAUUUGAAAUAGCCUAGACUAACUCUAUUUUACUUGUCUAAGGUGUUAAAAUUGAGUUUUAAGUCAAUUGGCAAAAUCUCAAAUUGUAUACUAAGAAAAUUUAAACUACAGUUAGAAUGAUUUCCUAGCCUAAUUUGGUGAUUUAUUUGAAUUUUUGGGUUAAAAUCUUGGCUCAACCAUUUGGCCCUGCUUUUAGACCAUACAUUAAGGUAUUUUAAUCAAGUUUUAGGUUUUUUGUUCAUGCCCAUUAAGCUUCCCAAAAAUAGAGCUCAAACUAGGCAGUUUUUGUACUUUGUUUACAAAAUUAUUUUUGAACUUUUUCCAAAUUUUUCUAGUUUUGGCCACUAGGAUAUUCUAGGCAUGUGUAUUUAAGUUACUUAAGGAUACUUUUAGCAUCACCACACUUGAUUUAAUCAUCUAGCCAAUUUUGACCUAUCAAAGCUCACUUUAGGUUUGAAAAAUGGAUCCUAACUUGGUUUUCUUGCUAGCUUUGGUCUUGGAACUGAUUGGAAACCAUUAUAAGCAUACAUUAGCAACUUGAUAUGACUUCAUUACAGUCCCUUAAGUUCAGGUGCUAACAAUCACCCAAAAUAGUCCACUAUUUGGCUUAAAAUGUGAUUUUUAACAAGUCUAAUGCUCAAAAUAGUUUACACUUGGUUUCUUUAGCAUGUGUAGCUUACUUAUGUCAUAUUUUAGCUAUUGGAACUUGUCUAUAUGGUCCAAGUAUGGUGGUUCUUUAUUUUGGUGUUCAUUGCUAUUUAAAGCUUACUUUCAUUGGUUUUUAAGCAUGAAUUUGCACAACACACCUUAUAUACCUUAACUAACUUAAGGAACAACUUUUAAAUGAUAUAUGUAGAUAAUGUAAGUACACUUUACUAAUUUAUAACAUGAGUAGCUAAAAUAUACCAUAACAGUUCAUAUUUCUAGGAUUUAAACACUGUUUUGGCAAAAAAAAAAUCACAAACAGUCCCAAGCUAUGCUUCUUUAGAUAUCUAAGCAUUCUUGCAAGCUCCUAACCAUCAUUUUAACUCAUUUUUAUGGAAUUUAGCAUAUUUGCAUAAGUAGUUAAACCAUUAGCACAAAACAGUCCAGUUCUAGACAUUUUAGGUAUGAAAUUUACAUAACAAUUCAUAAUAGUCCUUAUGUAGGUAAAAGGGAACUUUAAGCAUUCAAGUAAUCCUUAAAACAUGCUUAUAACAUAAAAUUAUUUCUUUAUUCAUAAUUGCAAAGGUCAGUCAUCUUUUGAAUACCCAAAACAGUCCAUAUAGAGCACUUUAGGAAUGAUUUAGUACCAUUACACCAAAACAAUACCAAGCAUUGAAUUUCAUGCAUUAUCACAACAAGUACUUGCUAUAUACUAUAUUUUUCAUGGUUAAAAACAUAUGGAUGCAAUACCUUAAGAUUUUGUUCAAAACAGCCUUUAGUAGGCUUUAUACUUUCAUGAAAACAUGGGUUGACAACCUAGUCAACAAUAUAGCAUGAUUAUGUGACAUACAAACAUGAACCAGCUGUUUACAUAACAUUUUACAUGUAUAUCUUUGAUUCGAAUGGUUUAAAACAGUAUACACAUAAUUAUCCACAACAGUCCUUUUUCUAAGCUUCUUAAUUUCAUAAAUAGUAUACCAAAUACUCCUAAAAUAGGGGUCGAGUUUGGCCUAUUCAAAACAGGCCCAUACUUGCCCUAUUUAAGGUUAUUUUCAAGUUUCAAUUACCCCUUAAGCUCUAACCUUUUAUCAUUCAUGGUUAAGUACAUUUAGACACCAUACCUAGCAUAAAAAUAGCCUUUAAAAUAUGACAAAUUAAUCAUAACUAGCUCCUAAUAAACAGUAAAAAUUUACUUUUAUUUUGUUCAUUAACAUAGCUAUCAUGGUGUGUAAGUGGUUUUAAAAACAUGGUAUACUUAAGUGUAGAGCACACUUGAAGUAUGGAUACAUUCCAUUUUAGCAAAUAAACAUGUUCUUGGACUCUAUUACACAGUAAAAAUGCUCAACACAUUUCAGUACUCAUUUAGUCACUUUAUCAAAUAGAUGAUGGGCAGUCCACAUACUGACAUAUAGUACAUAUGCUUCUAGCUCUUUUACCCAAGCCUUAUGGCUUUAAAACAACAAUGAUUCUCUUAUUAGUCAAGCAUAACGACAAUCAUAGCAAACACAACCAUCUUGUUCAUAAUAGUCAUUACAGAAAACCCACAAUCAGUACUAACAGUUACUAAUAUGGUCACAAAGCAAUUCACUAUCAAAUUCUAUAUACCAGCCUCUAUUAAGCCACCUGACCAUUAGUCAGCUUAUGCAAUGAUCACAACAACAAUUAGACCUUAUAAUAAUUAUACAACAUUCAAAAAUCCAAGAUAGCAGUCCUUGUAAUAGUGAAACAACCCUUUAUGACCAUUCCAGGCCAUUCGGCCAAAACAACCCAUUUUGCUAUUAACAAUGAAAUGGAAAAAGAAUGGAAGGAGUUUAAAUGGGCUUACCUUGCUAGGGUUUUCUAAAAAUUUAGGUAGUUUGGUAGUUUAAUUUUCCUUCCUUUCCAGCCGAAAGCGCUGUAGCAAAAUAGAACCCAAAAUUUUCCUUGAAUGACUGGCUUGGAUAAGGGUGAGGGGGUGCCUUUAAUGGCUGAGCUAUCUCCUUUUUCUGGCAGUCUUAUUUGCCUCUAGUUGGCCUCUACGCAGCCACCCUAUCAAGCUUUCAACAAUAAUUUCUAGUCUAGUCUACCCAGCCCCUAUUAGAAGUGUCAUACCUCCGCCCCAUAGUUGCCCUUUCCCUGGCUUGGAGGCAAGAUAUUAACUAUUAAG
RNAcentral lists this long non-coding RNA (8729 nucleotides) under Panax ginseng (ginseng). RNAcentral describes it as "long non-coding RNA (PGIN_LNC011959)". Lineage: Eukaryota; Viridiplantae; Streptophyta; Magnoliopsida; Apiales; Araliaceae. The record is from RNAcentral.